Molecule: long non-coding RNA, 291 nt
Organism: Oncorhynchus keta (chum salmon)
Lineage: Eukaryota; Metazoa; Chordata; Actinopteri; Salmoniformes; Salmonidae
Exons: 3
Source: RefSeq, a predicted model, not a curated record
GUCAUUAAAACUAGUUUACAUACACUUAGGUUGGAGUCAUUAAAACUAGUUUACAUACACUUAGGUUGGAGUCAUUAAAACUAGUUUACAUACACUUAGGUUGGAGUCAUUAAAACUAGUUUACAUACACUUAGGUUGGAGUCAUUAAAACUAGUUUACAUACACUUAGGUUGGAGUCAUUAACACUAGUUUACAUACACUGAGGUUGGAGUCAUUAAAACUAGUUUACAUACACUUAGGUUGGAGUCAUUAAAACUAGUUUACAUACACUUAGGUUGGAGUCAUUAAAAC